This 223-nucleotide unclassified non-coding RNA is filed under the name Hevea brasiliensis (rubber tree). The record is from RNAcentral. Lineage: Eukaryota; Viridiplantae; Streptophyta; Magnoliopsida; Malpighiales; Euphorbiaceae.
AGAGAUUGCUCUCGGGAAGAGGAGACAGAGACCUCUGUUUAUUGGAUAUGAAGCUUCGCUGAAUCUUCGAAAUAUCAGGAUUUGGUUUCUGAGUGGAGGAAGCUGAUGUAGGCCUCGAUUUCAAGCCAGAAUUACGAGAUGGUUCGACGAUGAAAGGAACUGAGUUUAAUCUUAAUGAGUCCCAUCGAUGAUAAACUGUGUGAGAAAACUUCGUUCUCCUAAG